GUGGGGAAUCUUGCGCAAUGGGCGAAAGCCUGACGCAGCCAUGCCGCGUGAAUGAUGAAGGUCUUAGGAUUGUAAAAUUCUUUCACCGGGGACGAUAAUGACGGUACCCGGAGAAGAAGCUCCGGCUAACUUCGUGCCAGCAGCCGCGGUAAUACGAAGGGGGCUAGCGUUGCUCGGAAUUACUGGGCGUAAAGGGCGCGUAGGCGGACAGCUUAAUCAGAGGAGAAAGCCCAGGGCUCAACCUUGGAAUUGCCUUUGAUACUGGCUGUUUUGAGUUUGGGAGAGGUGAGUGGAACUCCGAGUGUAGAGGUGAAAUUCGUAGAUAAUCGGAAGAACACCAGUGGCGAAGGCGACUCACUGGCCCAAUGCUGACGCUGAGGCGCGAAAGCGUGGGGAGCAAACAGGAUUAGAUACCCGUGUAGUCC
RNAcentral lists this ribosomal RNA (425 nucleotides) under uncultured bacterium. RNAcentral describes it as "partial 16S ribosomal RNA". It matches the Rfam family "Bacterial small subunit ribosomal RNA", at positions 354 to 796 of the family's 1533-position model. The record is from RNAcentral.